AGCCUGAUCCAGCCAUGCCGCGUGUGUGAAGAAGGUCUUCGGAUUGUAAAGCACUUUAAGUUGGGAGGAAGGGCAGUAAGUUAAUACCUUGCUGUUUUGACGUUACCAACAGAAUAAGCACCGGCUAACUUCRUGCCAGCAGCCGCGGUAAU
Molecule: ribosomal RNA, 152 nt
Filed under: uncultured Pseudomonas sp.
Lineage: Bacteria; Pseudomonadati; Pseudomonadota; Gammaproteobacteria; Pseudomonadales; Pseudomonadaceae
Description: partial 16S ribosomal RNA
Rfam family: Bacterial small subunit ribosomal RNA
Source: RNAcentral